Molecule: long non-coding RNA, 852 nt
Filed under: Oryctolagus cuniculus (rabbit)
Lineage: Eukaryota; Metazoa; Chordata; Mammalia; Lagomorpha; Leporidae
Description: lncRNA (ENSOCUG00000037054.1)
Source: RNAcentral
UCUCGCGAGACUUCAGGGUGACGGUUAAAGGACGAGGGACGGAAGCUACAAACGGGCCUUAAUCUGAAAAGACUUGAUUUUCUUAUCUGUAUGACAUUAAGAUAAAAAGUUCACUAAUUUAAAGGCGUGUAGUGCCUGGAGAUUAUGGUGAUUAAGGGGAUAGCCUGGAGACCAUAAAGAAUUCUAAGAGGGAGUUUUCGUUUUGAAUCGGACGCGUGGCCUGUUGCCUUUAACCACCAUAGACUGAAGCUGCCACGUGAAAACCACAAGUCCCAGAAUUCAACGUGCGCUACGCUGAGUCGGGGUGUGAUUGGCUGCAGGAACUUGUAGCGUUCUCAUUGGCUCCUGUGGGAGGAGAGAAUGCUGGGAUUUGCAGGCUGGCGCGGGAGGCGUGCUGGGGACGACCUUUCAAUCACCGCUCCGUUUCCGCCUCGGGCUGGAAUGUUGCUGAGCUUCAUCAGUAGAAGACACUGAGAAUCGAAGAAGGAGGAUGCAAGGUGCAAAGCAUGGAGCAUUCGCCCAUGGACAGCUUUCCCUGGCACUUACAGGUUAAAUUAAAUACUGGAUCCUAUAGAAUUCCACUGGACACCAACACUCCUGAUUAUGCAAGGCUGAGGAAACUUUUUUCUGCCAAGGGCCACUGGGGUAUGUAUAACUUAAUAAUUUAUUUAUACUUGUAAUAUAUUUCAAUUAUAAGUAGCUAUAUUUAUAUUUAUAAUUUGAAGGUCAUACUAAAUUAUCAACUUGAAAUUAACCUGCUAUUGAUUUAUUGAAUUUCAAGUCCCACCUGUGAUUGCCUUAGGCAGACCAAAUGAUUUUUUUUAUUUAAUAAAUGUGAAUUUACAAAGUGCA